RNAcentral lists this transfer RNA (70 nucleotides) under Isopachys gyldenstolpei. Its description in RNAcentral is "tRNA-Thr". It matches the Rfam family "tRNA". Rfam says of the family: Transfer RNA (tRNA) molecules are approximately 80 nucleotides in length. Their secondary structure includes four short double-helical elements and three loops (D, anti-codon, and T loops). Further hydrogen bonds mediate the characteristic L-shaped molecular structure. tRNAs have two regions of fundamental functional importance: the anti-codon, which is responsible for specific mRNA codon recognition, and the 3' end, to which the tRNAs corresponding amino acid is attached (by aminoacyl-tRNA synthetases). tRNAs cope with the degeneracy of the genetic code in two manners: having more than one tRNA (with a specific anti-codon) for a particular amino acid; and 'wobble' base-pairing, i.e. permitting non-standard base-pairing at the 3rd anti-codon position. The record is from RNAcentral. Lineage: Eukaryota; Metazoa; Chordata; Lepidosauria; Squamata; Scincidae.
GUUUUAGUAGCUUAGACAAAGCACUGGUCUUGUAAGCCAAAGUCGGGACAACCACAAAUCCCCUAAAACA